AGAAGUGACCGCGGCUUUACUGGGUUAAUCUUUUUCACGUUUCCUUGGUUGGUAGAUGCACCGGAGACCUGAUUAUAGCAAUUAAACCCGGGAAAAGUCAGAUUUUCAUGAUAUGUCACCUUUGAGUAACUAAAAUCACAACUUCAAAUGUUUGUAGAGAGAGACGCACAGACGACGCAGAUCCCCAAACAACAAUACGCAAGUAUUGCUGCUUCAAGUCAAGGCGCCAGACGCUACCAGGACUUGCAGGGCGCGCAAGACGCUAAGGCCUGAAUGGACUGAUGGAAAGGCCACUCUUGUCAGCCCGCGAGACGCAAAGCUGACUGAAGACAGAAAACAACAGGGUGGCCGUGACAGGAGUUGUUUUCUGAGGUUCUUUGUGUCUUACUCCGUGACCUGAAACAAAAAGAUAAAUCAGCAUUAUUUGUCUAAAUACAUUACAUUUAGAGAAAAAUUGACUUUAAAUUAAUGAUGACUGAUGAUCAAACUAAACCAACAAAACGCUUGGCUAAUCAUAGAGACUGUACCUUAAAACAGUCAUGGAGAUGCAUCUUGUCCAGACUGAGUCUCUCCUGUGGCUUGGCCUGCAGGCAAUCACAAAUCAUCUGGCAGCAUUCUGUGCAAAAAGACGAGAGAGACAUUUGAUUAUAACUUAUACUUUACACCUGAUCUCUUUGAAGCUAUUGGUCCUUUUUGUAUGAUUUAGAGUUCUUUGUUGUUUGAUGAAGAUCUCACCUUUUGACAAGCCAGGUCUGGUCCAGAGGUUCACAGUGAUCAUGUGUCGGUCAUAGGAUGUAGGAUAUUCUCCACACAGCAUUUCAUACAGGAUGAACCCUAGAGUCCACACUGUCGUCGGUUUUGCGUGGUACCUGCCCUUAAUGUAGAACUCAGGUGGACAGUACUCUCUUGUGCCUGCAGGAAACAUGUCUGAUGUUUAAUACAUUAUCGCAUCAUGUUGAUUAUAUAUAGGAUGUGUUUCUGUGAGAUAAUUAACAAAGCAGUUCAUAACACAUACCUUGGAAGACUUUGAAGGCAGAUUUCUUCAUGAGCGCACUGCACCCGAAGUUAAUUAAUUUGACCUCCAUGGUGUCCUCAUUCACCAGAAGGUUCUCCAAUUUUAAAUCACGAUGGAAGAUGCCACGCUUACAGAAAGUUUUAGCGGUAUCAAUGACCUGCCGCAUAAUAUUUUGUGCCAUCCCCUCGUCAAGUCUUCCUCCAUGGUGAUCCACAAAACUAAACAAGUCCAUGCAAGGAAUGGGGCGCUCCAUGACCAUCACGUAGUGGUCUGUGUCAUCCUCCCAGUCAAGCAGCUUAAUGAUCUGAGGAACGCUGGGGCCCUUAUUGGCCAUGAGCAUCAGGCCAAUCUCCAUGGGAAGGCGUUUGGGAUGACCAGGCUAAAAGAAGGAAAAUACGAUGCUUAGAUGGAGGCAGUAUCCCUAAUAAUGACUUGGUUCACAAAUCAAAACAGGUUGCCUACUAAAAGCUUAUUUGUAGUCUGUGAUUAACAUCAAUAUAAGAUGUGAUAAACUGAAAACGGUGACUAAGAGGAAAUAACAUUGAGAGCGCAGCCUACUUGCCACGCUGAUAGAUGGCAUGUUUGGCAUCUUCCUUGAACAUUUCACAGCCACCUAAUCAACAAAACAAAGAAUUAGCAUGUGCAGAUAGUUGAUAUCACUCCAGUCAUAAAUCCUGAACAGAUGUGCAAAGUUUUUAAGUGAAGAAAAUUGAAACCUUAAGUCCAUCCUUGCAGCGAGUCCCACAUCCUCCUUCACCAUCUUGCAGCUGAUUUUAUACUGCUUGUGAAUGUGGCCUAAUAACAGACAAACAAUUGUGGAUGUCCUGCACAAGCCGUUCCUCAGCAGUGAGGAGAACUUUCUCUCUCCCUGCCUCCGUUCUCCCUCCAUCAGUCUCAACACCACCAACAGGCGCCUCAUCAGGCAGAUUAGGAUGACUGUUCUCUGACGUGAUGGGGUAAAGUACACCGGGACAUCCUGCUUCUGCUGUUCCUCAGCAGCGGGGAGGACUUCAAGAGCUGGAGCU
Molecule: long non-coding RNA, 2040 nt
Organism: Sinocyclocheilus grahami
Lineage: Eukaryota; Metazoa; Chordata; Actinopteri; Cypriniformes; Cyprinidae
Exons: 4
Source: RefSeq, a predicted model, not a curated record